CCUACGGUGGCUGCAGUGAGGAAUAUUGGUCAAUGGCCGGAAGGCUGAACCAGCCAAGCCGCGUGAAGGACGAAGGUGCCAAGCAUUGUAAACUUCUUUUGUCAAGGGACAAAAUCAGGCUCGAGAGCCUGACCGAGGGUACUUGAAGAAAAAGCAUCGGCUAACUCCGUGCCAGCAGCCGCGGUAAUACGUAGGGUGCGAGCGUUAAUCGGAAUUACUGGGCGUAAAGGGUGUGCAGGCGGCUGAGUAAGACAGAUGUGAAAUCCCCGGGCUUAACCUGGGAACCGCAUAUGUGACUGCUUGGCUAGAGUGCGUCAGAGGGAGGUGGAAUUCCACGUGUAGCAGUGAAAUGCGUAGAUAUGUGGAAGAACACCGAUGGCGAAGGCAGCCUCCUGGGACGCAACUGACGCUCAUACACGAAAGCGUGGGGAGCAAACAGGAUUAGAUACCCGUGUAGUC
RNAcentral lists this ribosomal RNA (459 nucleotides) under uncultured bacterium. RNAcentral's name for it is "partial 16S ribosomal RNA". It matches the Rfam family "Bacterial small subunit ribosomal RNA", at positions 338 to 795 of the family's 1533-position model. The record is from RNAcentral.